RNAcentral lists this ribosomal RNA (1074 nucleotides) under Micrococcus lylae. RNAcentral describes it as "bacterial SSU rRNA". It matches the Rfam family "Bacterial small subunit ribosomal RNA", at positions 32 to 1121 of the family's 1533-position model. The record is from RNAcentral. Lineage: Bacteria; Bacillati; Actinomycetota; Actinomycetes; Micrococcales; Micrococcaceae.
AAAGCAUGCGCGUGCUUACCAUGCAGUCGAACGAUGAAGCUCCAGCUUGCUGGAGUGAAUUAGUGGCGAACGGGUGAGUAACACGUGAGUAACCUACCCUUGACUCUGGGAUAAGCCUUGGAAACGAGGUCUAAUACCGGAUAGGAGCACUCAUCGCAUGGUGGGUGUUGGAAAGAAUUUCGGUCUUGGAUGGACUCGCGGCCUAUCAGCUUGUUGGUGAGGUAAUGGCUCACCAAGGCGACGACGGGUAGCCGGCCUGAGAGGGUGACCGGCCACACUGGGACUGAGACACGGCCCAGACUCCUACGGGAGGCAGCAGUGGGGAAUAUUGCACAAUGGGCGCAAGCCUGAUGCAGCGACGCCGCGUGAGGGAUGACGGCCUUCGGGUUGUAAACCUCUUUCAGUAGGGAAGAAGCGAAAGUGACGGUACCUGCAGAAGAAGCACCGGCUAACUACGUGCCAGCAGCCGCGGUAAUACGUAGGGUGCGAGCGUUAUCCGGAAUUAUUGGGCGUAAAGAGCUCGUAGGCGGUUUGUCGCGUCUGCCGUGAAAGUCCGGGGCUUAACUCCGGAUCUGCGGUGGGUACGGGCAGACUAGAGUGCAGUAGGGGAGACUGGAAUUCCUGGUGUAGCGGUGGAAUGCGCAGAUAUCAGGAGGAACACCGAUGGCGAAGGCAGGUCUCUGGGCUGUAACUGACGCUGAGGAGCGAAAGCAUGGGGAGCGAACAGGAUUAGAUACCCUGGUAGUCCAUGCCGUAAACGUUGGGCACUAGGUGUGGGGGCCAUUCCACGGUUUCCGCGCCGCAGCUAACGCAUUAAGUGCCCCGCCUGGGGAGUACGGCCGCAAGGCUAAAACUCAAAGGAAUUGACGGGGGCCCGCACAAGCGGCGGAGCAUGCGGAUUAAUUCGAUGCAACGCGAAGAACCUUACCAAGGCUUGACAUGUUCUCGAUCGCCGUAGAGAUACGGUUUCCCCUUUGGGGCGGGUUCACAGGUGGUGCAUGGUGUCGUCAGCUCGUGUCGUGAGAUGUUGGUUAAGUCCCGCAACGAGCGCAACCCCUGUUCUUAUGUUGCCAA